This 1551-nucleotide long non-coding RNA is filed under the name Capsicum annuum. RNAcentral describes it as "long non-coding RNA (CANN_LNC011575)". The record is from RNAcentral. Lineage: Eukaryota; Viridiplantae; Streptophyta; Magnoliopsida; Solanales; Solanaceae.
AAUAAUACAUCAACACCCCCACAACACCACAAACCACUGAUCUUUCCCUUCUCCUCUCUCUCACUAAUCUCUCUUUCUGAUGUCUCUCACUAUUGCCCCAUCGAAAUUAAUCACUGGGUAGCAUGCUCCAUCUUCCGUCACCACUACCGCCGCGACGUUGUUGAUACUUGUCUUUUUUUUUCACUGCUGGCUCACCAAAGAUGAUGACUGGUGAGUUACAGUCAAGCUCCACCACCAACGCUACGUUGUUGGAGUUGGUGUCUAGCGAGCUUUGACUGAGUUCCCCCAUCACUGUCGUACUAUUGAUGGCCAGAUCUGGUCGAAACUUUAUAUAUCCGUCGUCGUUCCACUAUACACUGUUGAAGCAACACUGGUACCACUAAUGUUUGAGAUUUUUUCCUCUUCAAUUAUUAUAAUUAUUAAUUGUAAUUUUUCUUGCUGAUUGUGAUGCUCUAACGAUGUUUUACUAUUUUGGAUUGCUUGUUGAUAAUUUUAGGUGAAAUUUGAUUCCAUGCGAUCUCCCCGUAUAUUUCAGCGAACAAGUGUUGGUUUGCUCAUAGGAUUAUGAACUUACAGUUUACUGUUAUUGCUAAUUCUUUCAAAUUUGGUGGAACUUUUUAUAUUUGUUGGACAUUUGUUCAUUGUCAUUACAUUCGCUCUCUUUGUGUUAUUUUCGGACUAAUCUUAUCCCUUUACCUCUUUAUAAUUUUACUACACCGAUAAUGAACCAAAUACUGCACACAUGGCUAGUGACAAUAUCUCUCAGUCAGAAUUUUGAUGUUGUACCAUAAUAAAAGAUGGAUUUUGUUUUUCUCAAUUUUACUCAUUCUAUAUCAAGUAUUAAUACAUGACCAAUGAAGAAAUUUCCAUUGAUUUUUGAGGCCUCCACAAAUAAAAGAAGAGCAUUACAUAUACAAAUAUAUAACAAAAUAAAUAACUCACACAAUGACAAAAUUUUUAUAAUAUCAUGACAAUACAAAAGGUUUUAUGAUUCGUAUCUUGGUAAGGCAAUUUUGGAUGGCUGGUAAAUCGAGAAACCGUAGCCAUGGCGCAUCUAAAACUUAAUCUGAGCCCAUUUUAUAACAAAAUUUCACUUUUAUAUAUACAUCUACAUAUAUGUACGUGCACACACAAUUUUUAUUUAUUUUCAUAACUAUUUGUUCAUUCAUAAUAUUAUUUAUUUUCAUAACUAUUUGUUCAUUCAUAAUAUUUUCCAUCAAGUGUUUAUACAUGUUCUCAAUAACACACUCCAAAGUGGUAUUUAAAAAGCAGUUUCGGGCUCUAUAUUUUUAUUUUUUUUUCUCAUUGUAUAAGUAUUAUAGGGAUAAGUAUUGUGAAAACUUUACUUUUUGGGAUGUCGGACGGGAACAUCCUUUACUUGCAUAUUCAUUAACGCACAUUUAGGCAAAACUUAGGCCGUUAAUAUUUACAUAAAGAAAUUAAAUUAAUUUAAAUAUUUGAUUAAUUAAUUCACACAUUUGCAUUAUAAAUAUUAUUCGUUUUUUUCUUCUUAAAUAAAUCUUUAUUUUUCUCCCUGUGACUUUAGUCAAG